Molecule: ribosomal RNA, 345 nt
Filed under: uncultured bacterium
Lineage: Bacteria
Description: partial 16S ribosomal RNA
Rfam family: Bacterial small subunit ribosomal RNA
Source: RNAcentral
CCUACGGGUGGCAGCAGUGGGGAGUAUUGCGCAAUGGGCGAAAGCCUGACGCAGCGACGCCGCGUGAGGGAUGAAGGUCUUCGGAUCGUAAACCUCUGUCAGCAGGGAAGAACAGUCACUGUGCUAAUCAGCAGUGAAUUGACGGUACCUGCAAAGGAAGCACCGGCUAACUCCGUGCCAGCAGCCGCGGUAAUACGGAGGGUGCGAGCGUUAAUCGGAGUUACUGGGCGUAAAGCGCUCGUAGGCGGUAUGUCAAGUCCAGGGUGAAAUCCCCGCGCUCAACGUGGGAACUGCCUUUGAAGCGUGCAAACAGGAGUGUGUGAGAGGAUAGGGGAAUUCACGGGG